Small nuclear RNA from Orussus abietinus, 122 nucleotides. RefSeq annotates it as U5 spliceosomal RNA. Lineage: Eukaryota; Metazoa; Arthropoda; Insecta; Hymenoptera; Orussidae. The transcript has a single exon. The record is from RefSeq and is a predicted model, not a curated record.
UUGCUCUUGUUUCCCUUCAGUCAUCGCAUAAAUCUUUCGCCUUUUACUAAAGAUUUCCGUGGAGGGGAAUACUGAAGAGUAUUUAAGCAAUUUUUUGAUAUCCCAGCAUCAUCGCUGGGGUU